AGAAACUUAGGUUAACAUAGACCAAAAGCCUUCAAAGCUUUAAGUAGAAGUGAAAAUCCUCUAGUUUCUG
RNAcentral lists this transfer RNA (70 nucleotides) under Stegostoma tigrinum. Its description in RNAcentral is "tRNA-Trp". It matches the Rfam family "tRNA". Rfam says of the family: Transfer RNA (tRNA) molecules are approximately 80 nucleotides in length. The record is from RNAcentral. Lineage: Eukaryota; Metazoa; Chordata; Chondrichthyes; Orectolobiformes; Stegostomatidae.